CCAGACUCCUACGGGAGGCAGCAGUGGGGAAUAUUGCACAAUGGGGGAAACCCUGAUGCAGCGACAACGCGUGAGUGAAGAAGUCUUUCGGUAUGUAAAGCUCUGUCAGCAGGGAAGAAGAAAGACGGUACCUGACCAAGAAGCCCCGGCUAACUACGUGCCAGCAGCCGCGGUAAUACGUAGGGGGCAAGCGUUAUCCGGAAUCACUGGGUGUAAAGGGAGCGUAGACGGCUGUGCAAGCCUGGAGUGAAAGGCGGGGGCCCAACCCCCGGACUGCUCUGGGAAAUGCAAAGCUGGAGUGCAGGAGAGGUAAGUCGAAUUCCUGGUGUAGCGGUGAAAUGCGUAGAUAUCAGGAAGAACCCCCGUGGCGUCGGCGGCUUCCUGGGCUGUCGCUGGCGUUGUGGCUCGGAUGCGUGGGGGGCCCCCUAGAGGAGNUUCCCUGNUNGUCCCCNCCGUCCCCGACCCUCUUUAUGGAGUCGGGGGGCAGGAGCCCUUAGGUGCCGAAGCAGACGCAUUAAGUGAUCCGCCUGGGGAGUACGUCCGCAAGGAGGAAACUCAAAGGAAUUGACGGGGACCCGCACAAGCGGUGGAGCAUGUGGUUUAAUUCGAAGCAACGCGAAGAACCUUACCCGGCCUUGACAUCCCCCUGGCAGCAUAUGUAAUGUAUGUUCCCUUCGGGGCAAGAGGAAACAGGUGGUGCAUGGUUGUCGUCAGCUCGUGUCGUGAGAUGUUGGGUUAAGUCCCGCAACGAGCGCAACCCUUACCCACAGUAGCCAGCAUGGAAGAUGGGAACUCUGUGGGGACUGCCGGGGACAACCCGGAGGAAGGCGGGGAUGACGUCAAAUCAUCACCCCCCUUAUGGCCGGGGCUACACACGUGCUACAAUGGCGUAAACAAAGGGAAGCGAGAGAGUGAUCUUAAGCAAAACUCAAAAAUAACGUCCCAGUUCGGAUUGUAGUCUGCAACCCGACUACAUGAAGCUGGAAUCGCUAGUAAUCGCGGAUCAGAAUGCCGCGGUGAAUACGUUCCCGGGUCUUGUACACACCGCCCGUCA
This 1054-nucleotide ribosomal RNA is filed under the name uncultured bacterium. RNAcentral's name for it is "bacterial SSU rRNA". It matches the Rfam family "Bacterial small subunit ribosomal RNA", at positions 331 to 1399 of the family's 1533-position model. The record is from RNAcentral.